GCAGGCUCCACCGUAUUCUCAAGCAGGUUACAGGGACGGCAAGCUUUACGUCGAUGGCGUCUUCGGCCUCGUCCUAGAGGCCCUGGCCGACUUCGUCCCUUUCAGCUACGACAUCGUGUACGACCAUCGACUGUCGUUCGGAGUGCGUCUUCCCAAUGGCUCUUACACGGGCAUCAUAGGGCUCAUUCAAAGUGGGGCUGCAGACCUGGCCGCUGCCCCCGUGCUUGUUCGUUACGACCGCACCGAGGUGGCGACGUACGCGCCCGUCCUGUUCACCAGCCACUGCGUGCUCAUCGCCGUCGCAGGGGAGCCAGCCGUGAACGCAUUCAGCUACUUGUUUGUGUUCGACUGGGAGG
Rhipicephalus sanguineus (brown dog tick) is the source of this 356-nucleotide long non-coding RNA. RefSeq lists it as uncharacterized. NCBI's taxonomy places the organism in Eukaryota, Metazoa, Arthropoda, Arachnida, Ixodida, Ixodidae. The transcript is spliced from 3 exons. The record is from RefSeq and is a predicted model, not a curated record.